UCCUUUAACAGAAAUGCUGGAAACAUCGUCUCCCAGCAACCUCAGACACAACUCGACAUAAAAGAGGUGCUCACAGUGCAGCCUUAAGGCAGAAUGUAACUGUAAUGUCCUGUAGUGUGGCCCAGGGCUGCCUUCCUACUGAUUGGGGUCUGGGAAUGCAGGUCUGAUGGUGCUGCAGGUUUUCCAUGGCAGGUGGUGUUAAGCGAGCCUGUCUGCUAUUUGGGAAGACAGAAGAUACUGUGCCUGCCUCUAUUUCAAGGAUCUUUGAAUUUAACAACAAAUGUUAACCUUGGCUCCAAGAACCACCAUCCUUUGAAAGCUAAAUUAUCAGAUGCAGCGACUACAUAUGGUUACAAUAAAAACAAAUAUUCACAAACAUUACUCGAAACCCUGUGGAAGCUGUGCCUGAGGAAAGCCCAUGAAAAACACCAGAGGCACAACACUUUAAAAACUCAUUUAGGAAUGGAGCAAUACACAAGAAGCAGUGUGAAAUGCUCAUAGUACCAGGCUUGGAUAGCUGGCAAAACUUCACAGGCGACCGUGUCAUCUGGGGACUCAAUGGUAUAAAUUAGGAGAGCAUUUUAUCACAGGCUAGAUUUAUGAAUGUAAUAUUUAUGUCAGGGAGGGAGAGGAGAGAAGAAAUAUAGAUUUUUAAAAUGGUUUUAAAUAUUUUUUGCUUAAAAAAAUCUCAUUAUUUUUUAUCUUUCUAAGCCAGCUGGAUAAAUCAAUAGAAAGCAAAUUUAACUAUUGUAAGAUUUUGGGAAAGACACUUGCAUUUUCUUUUCUUUUAGUGGUUGCAUUCAUUUGCCUGUUUCUGGAAACCCCUGGGGAUGGGAUUUUUUGAGCCUUUUCUCUACACAUUAAUGCCUGGGCUUAUGCAGGUCAACACAGUUCUUUGCAUCCCAAGACUUUCUGGGUAUUCACAUGUGGGAACAGUAUUGAAUCAUAGUGUUUAUAAAGAGGCAUUGGAUGUUCAGAAAAUAAGUAUUAGGCCCCAAAUAUUUUCACCUUAAAAUCACCGUGGAGAACCCAAAUUUUAAGUGACAAAGAAAAGUGUUAGCAUUUGUAACUCUGUCUCCUGAAAUAUUGAAAUUUUCAUGUAAUGUGUCCCUUUCCCUUGUGUCCCCAAGGCUGGCCUUCAACCACAGUGUCUCUGGAUCUUGAAACAUAAGUCUUUGACAACUGCUCUAUGCUGAUUACUUUCCUCCACCCCUUUAAAGAAAAUUAGAGAUGCAGUUUCUAAACCAUAUGGCUCUAUGUUCUAGCUGCUCAGGAAGGAGUUCUUGUCUUCAGGUCCCUAGUCUAUGGAACAACCAUUGAGAUGGUUUGGCCCCUCGGGGU
Molecule: long non-coding RNA, 1341 nt
Organism: Pezoporus flaviventris
Lineage: Eukaryota; Metazoa; Chordata; Aves; Psittaciformes; Psittacidae
Exons: 3
Source: RefSeq, a predicted model, not a curated record